AGUGAACGCUGGCAGUAGGCCUAACACAUGCAAGUCGAACGGCAGCACAGGAGAGCUUGCUCUCUGGGUGGCGAGUGGCGGACGGGUGAGGAAUACAUCGGAAUCUACUUUUUCGUGGGGGAUAACGUAGGGAAACUUACGCUAAUACCGCAUACGACCUACGGGUGAAAGCAGGGGAUCUUCGGACCUUGCGCGAUUGAAUGAGCCGAUGUCGGAUUAGCUAGUUGGCGGGGUAAAGGCCCACCAAGGCGACGAUCCGUAGCUGGUCUGAGAGGAUGAUCAGCCACACUGGAACUGAGACACGGUCCAGACUCCUACGGGAGGCAGCAGUGGGGAAUAUUGGACAAUGGGCGCAAGCCUGAUCCAGCCAUACCGCGUGGGUGAAGAAGGCCUUCGGGUUGUAAAGCCCUUUUGUUGGGAAAGAAAUCCAGCUGGUUAAUACCCGGUUGGGAUGACGGUACCCAAAGAAUAAGCACCGGCUAACUACGUGCCAGCCGCCGCGGUAA
RNAcentral lists this ribosomal RNA (506 nucleotides) under uncultured bacterium. RNAcentral's name for it is "partial 16S ribosomal RNA". It matches the Rfam family "Bacterial small subunit ribosomal RNA", at positions 29 to 523 of the family's 1533-position model. The record is from RNAcentral.